AUUUUCAUUUUACACGCCAACGAUUCACGCGACUCCGCCUUUUUUGCCUGAGAAGAAAAACUGAACAAUGAAAAACGAACCGUCCGAUCUAUCUUUGAAUAAAGAUGGUAAAGAAGUAUAUCUUGAUAAUCUUCAGUUAAUCAAGACGAUUGGAAAGACCGUCCGAAGUUGCCAAGAGGAGAGGAGGAAGAGGAAGCAGGUUUUCUACCCUUUGGAGAGCAUCGUUCCAACUGCAUCUUCGUGGAUGGAAUUUAAAAGCGGAUGGGUGUAAGUACCGAGAGUCUGGACUUCCAUUAAUCGUGAAAGCAAUUAUUACGAGGGAAAGGUCACGGGGCAGACUCUUAAUCGUUCUGAGGUGUGAAUGCUAAUGAGUCCGAAGAACAUGGAGCCAAGAUGCUCGUUGUCCGCACUUUCGAGAAAAAGAAUGCUUGUGGCGAUCUUAUAGCCUGACCUUGAUUAAUGCUGAGAAUAAAUGUACUCGAAAUAUUUUAUACUAUAUAGGUAGAGUCUAAUGCCUUCUUCGUAGAUUAUAUAUCACGUCAGAAUUGGAUACAACCAAGAAGAAGAUUGCGAGUGCGGUGUCAUUAUAUAGUUACAACUAUUACGCAGUUAAACUUUCUUAUAUUGUAUACGCACAUAUGUUCCACGCGUCUAGAUAUAUAUUUAUGCGUUAUCUAUAUAAGCGUUGAUAAUUUUUUUAGAUUAGAUUCAUCGUUGGUAAGAACAUAAAUUGAAGAAUCUUACAAUUAGUACGCAUAAGUGGGUCAUUGCCAUCUUUGUCAGCCAUGCAUGUCGAUCUUAUCUUUCUGUACUUUUUAGGUAUGUAAAUCUUUUCUCGAGGGAAUUUUUAAUCGUACGAGUAAGCUCUAUGGGGUAGUUAAUGAUAAAAAAUUCACGAUGAAAUAACGUACUUUCAACGGAUAUUAAAGAAAUAUCAUACUCAUUUUUCUGAUUAGUAUUGGACACAUGUGGUUUGUUGGUUUUCGAAUGAACCUUUCAAAACUUUUUAAACGUAACGAGACUAACGGAGAUGAUGCGAUUUCACGGCAAUCGAACACCCAUACUAUAGUAUAGUGGAUCUUGAUAAUCCUAUUUCAUCCUUCAUCUGUUCUCUAUCGUAUCUAUAUCCAUAUUGAGUUUUAUCAUUUUUUCAUAAUCGUACCGACUAAUAACAGAACAGAUUUGUAUGCCGAGAUGUAUGUACAUAAUCGGAUCUGUAGAUAUAACAUUAAUACUCCAAAGAUGAAUAUUCCAGUGAAAAGUAUCGGCUUUAGAAUUAUAAAAGAAGCUCAGUAUAAAAUCGUCCUGUUAUAAUCUUCGUAAUUGGUAUAAUUUUGACGGGAUCAAGUCUCUUGAUAAAGUUAAAAAUUCUUUUGCGAACGAUAUCCCUUUGAUACGCACUCGAUGAAUGAAUGAAUGGAAUAACCAACAACGUUACAAUCGGUAGUAAAUCCUGAUUUUCUUGAAGCUAGAAUGCAAUUCGGCCGACGUAACGAACCAAUGUACAUAACGAGCGCCUAAUUUAGAGUUAAGCCGCAAAGAGAGAAAGAGAGAGAGGGAGAGAGAGAGAGAAGCAGAGGAAGAGAGAAAACUGUCUAGUGUAGAGACGCCUUGCACCAGUGAAAAUAUAUCUACGAAACAGAAAUUGCAGUCUAGGACGAAAUUUAGUCUCGUUAACCCGACUCGGCAUUAAUGUACACUCUACGUAAUAGUUCCGUUAACCGGUAGUUAUGUCAAUUAGGUUUACUCGAACUGGCUGCUUUCAGAAUUAUUUAAAGAGUUAUUACAGUGAUGGUUUCUAGUGGGAGUUGCAAGAGAAGAUUAGGAUUAUGCUUUUGGGAGCUUUGAAGUGUCAGCAUCUAUUCGAAUUACUUUGUCUUGAUCAAUUCUAACCAAUUCAAACCUGUCAUAAAUUCCGUACGAUCUGCAUAGUAAUCAGAGACGACGUAAUCAGAGAAAAUGUAACACCGUUCGAAUUGAAAAUCGAUCCUUUUAUACGGUAAAAAGAACGAUCAAAUAAAUGAACCACAAAAUAUUCGCUCGUUAUUACGGCUAAAUCAACUAUCGAUGGGAGCUUCAAAGGCAGAAAACAACAAACACGUGUGUCGUAUAAACCAGAUACACGAGCGACGAAACUCGAUGAGUAGGUAUCGAGGUGCUUCUCGUUGGUUACAAAAUACAUUCACAUCCCCAAUAGCAACGUUACGACGUAAUAUAACGGUGUACGUAAUUCGAAAAGCCAUUGUGAAUUACGACUCGACGUUCGUGUUGCAUACGCGAUGCGACGACAAUUCGAGAGAACAUUUCACUUUCCACAGUACUUGCUUCGAUUCAAUCUUUAAUCUAUCAUAGACGUGAAUUCGAUCAUUACGAUGACUCUCCAACGAGCAACAAUAAAACAAGGGACCAUUUUAUUUCGAUUAUUUUCCACGGAAAUACCAGUAGUCAAUCUAAUCCCUACCAAUUGAUACGUUAUAUCUUUGAUCUUAAUGUUUCUUCUGUGUAGAAUUAGUAGAUAACGAUUGAAAAGCGAUUGGAAAUAAGUAAUUAAGAAUAUUCUACUAACAAUUAACUAAAUUAAUUUGUUAAACUUAGAACACAAAGAAACAAAGUGUUUUACUCAAGAGAUAUUUAUUGUGGAACAAAAGAAAUUUAUUGCGCCAUUUCUUGUACUAUACUGACUUUUAGUGUAGGGAUUUAACGUUGCGGAAAUCUGGAAGAGAUUAAUUAUACCAGGCAUUUCAUCGAUUUCGCGUUGGACAGCUUGCUGAGUUUCCAAUGCUUUCUCGCAAAUAUACCUUUGCCAUUGUCGGGUCAUUAAUUUAUAUUGUAAGAAUAAUAAAUACAUUUUAACAAGUUGUUAAGGGAUUUAAAAAAUCAGAAAUGACACGAAUAAACAAUAUCUAAUGAGUAAAGCACAAAAGUAUCAGUUAAGGAUGACGAAAGAGUAUCUGUUCGUUUACGGAUUUAUUUACCAAUCGUUUUAUCUUACACAGGUAGCUUUGUUAGUGAUAAACGAGAAUGCGUCGUUACCUCCGAAGGAGUCGAUCGGAAACGAUAAAGGACGAUCGACGAGUAAGUGUAAAGCGAUAACACCAACCGAUCGAGAAACGAUCCAGCUACAAAAGCCGAGUCAAUCUUCGUACUCGGAACCUGAAUUAUUAUACCUUACGUCCGAUACGGUUAUAUGGCCGCGACUCUGCUCACCCGUUGAAAUGCUGUCAGCUUAAUUAAUGGUGUUGUGUCAUGAAUGUGGGCAACCUGCCAGCAGCUCGUUAAAUUAUCACACAACGACUCAUUAAGCCUGUGCGCUUCGAUAACGAACUCGUUGCGUCUCCUGUCCCUCAGGAUAAUAGCGUAGAUAACUUAUUCCUUCUUGCUAUUUUGCAUCAUGUGUACAGAUAUGCGUACGUGCGUGCACAUAUGCGAAAUAACAUAGAUGCAUACAUUGUCAAUAAAAUAUCUUUAUACUUUAUCGUUUUCAAUCGUCAUAUCCAAAGUAUUAUUAUUAUCUUUAGUAGCCUCGUUACUUGUACGAUACUAUGAAAUUAUUGUCGCCCGUUUCACGAUCGAUAAUGAAACAUUCGUUUAAAUAUCACCCUGAAAUAUUAGAUGAUAUUCAAUAAAUCUAAAAAUAACAGUUCAAAUUUAAAAAAUAAAAAGUAAGUUCGAA
Molecule: long non-coding RNA, 3673 nt
Organism: Vespula pensylvanica (western yellowjacket)
Lineage: Eukaryota; Metazoa; Arthropoda; Insecta; Hymenoptera; Vespidae
Exons: 3
Source: RefSeq, a predicted model, not a curated record